Helianthus annuus (common sunflower) is the source of this 775-nucleotide long non-coding RNA. RefSeq lists it as uncharacterized. Lineage: Eukaryota; Viridiplantae; Streptophyta; Magnoliopsida; Asterales; Asteraceae. The transcript has 4 exons. The record is from RefSeq and is a predicted model, not a curated record.
AUUCAUCUUUGAGGUUCUUCUCCUGGUUUAGUUAUGUAAUUGAGAAACAUCAUGAUUAAAUCUUUUGGUUGGGUUCUUAACAACUCUUUUCAGUAAUUGGCUCUUAAAAACAUUCAAAAUAGUAUAUCACAAUUGUGUUUUAAGACAUAAAAUGUUUUAGAAUUUCUAUUUCAGCUGUGCUAGAUUUAUUUUUGUGCAAUUACUAUUGGCUUGACAGGCGAAUGGAGGACAAUUCAAAAGAAAAAAAACAAAGAAACGUACCAGAGCGUACCACAAUUUAGGUAGCGUUGGAUUCUACGUCUCUACUAAAACCACUUUUUUGGCGAAACAAUUAGGUAAAUAUAAGGAUGCAUUUGCAGAAUAUACAGCAAGAACUGCAUUUGAGAGACCGUUAUUAAGCGGGGUAGCGUAUGUACCGAGGAUACUGACUUCCGAACGAGAAGACUUCGAAAGUCAACACGGUGGGACUAUAAGAACAAUGGCCAACAAGGAGCCGUCCCCUCACCGCGAUGAAUAAGCACCAAUGAUAUUCUCUCAAGAAACCGUUUCUUACCUCAAAACGAAUUAGUUUUAUGACGAUACUUACUGGUUUAUAUUGUUUUUUGACAUUGAAGAAGCCUAUAGGAGUAACUGCUCCACUGGAUGAAGCUUGCAUGUUUCCCAAGUCAACACAUGAAACAUUUGCGAACAAGCUUUUCUAGAAUUUGCGGGCCCACUCAAGGUUUGGGAAGGCGGAAUUCUCUGAGACAGAUUUCGCCAUUUCUCACUAUGCUGG